GACGAACGCUGGCGGCAUGCCUAAUACAUGCAAGUCGAGCGAACAGAUGAAGUGCUUGCACUUCUGACGUUAGCGGCGAACGGGUGAGUAACACGUAAGGAAUCUACCUAUAAGCGGGGAUAACAUUCGGAAACGGGUGCUAAUACCGCAUAAUAUUUUCUUCCGCAUGGAAGAAAAUUGAAAGACGGCUCUGCUGUCACUUAUAGAUGACCUUGCGGUGCAUUAGUUAGUUGGUGGGGUAACGGCCUACCAAGACGAUGAUGCAUAGCCGACCUGGGAGGGUGAUCGGCCAAAUUGGGACUGAGACACGGCCCAAACUCCUACGGGAGGCAGCAGUAGGGAAUCUUCCGCAAUGGGCGAAAGCCUGACGGAGCAAUGCCGCGUGAGUGAAGAAGGCCUUCGGGUCGUAAAACUCUGUUAUAAGAGAAGAACAAAUUGUAGAGUAACUGCUACAGUCUUGACGGUAUCUUAUCAGAAAGCCACGGCUAACUACGUGCCAGCCGCCGCGGUAA
RNAcentral lists this ribosomal RNA (512 nucleotides) under uncultured bacterium. RNAcentral's name for it is "partial 16S ribosomal RNA". It matches the Rfam family "Bacterial small subunit ribosomal RNA", at positions 28 to 523 of the family's 1533-position model. The record is from RNAcentral.